GACGAACGCUGGCGGCGUGCCUAAUACAUGCAAGUAGAACGCAGUUGCGAACGUGUGAGUAACGCGUAGGUAACUGCCUCAUAGCGGGGGAGAAAUAUUGGUAACGAUAGCUAAUACCGCAUACUGUGAGAUGGACCUGAGUCGUAUUAGCUAGUCGGUGAGGUAAAGGCUCACCAAGGCGACGAUACAGAGCCGACCUGAGAGGCUCAGCCGCCGCACUGGGACUGCGGCACGGCCCAGACUCCUGCCGGAGGCAGCGGUAGGGAAUCUUCCGCAGUGGUCGGAAGUCUGACCUAGCAACGCCGCGUGAGUGAAGAAGGUUUUCGGUGCGUAAUGCUCUGUUGUUAGAGAAGCGGUAACUUCCCCGAGCUGGACGGCUGACUACGUGCCAGCAGCCGCGGUAAUAC
RNAcentral lists this ribosomal RNA (407 nucleotides) under uncultured bacterium. RNAcentral's name for it is "partial 16S ribosomal RNA". It matches the Rfam family "Bacterial small subunit ribosomal RNA", at positions 28 to 526 of the family's 1533-position model. The record is from RNAcentral.